AUUCCAGCUCCAAUAGCGUAUAUUAAAGUUGUUGCAGUUAAAAAGCUCGUAGUCGGAUUUUGGCAUCACGCCGAACUGUCUGCCGAUUGGUAAGUACGGUUUGGCGGGUGCUUCCUUCCGGAGGCUCGUUCCCUUCCUCAUUGAAGGGUUCGUUGGUUCCGGGUCUUUUACUUUGAAAAAAUUAGAGUGCUCAAAGCAGGCUUUUCACGCUUGAAUAUUCGUGCAUGGAAUAAUGGAAUAGGAACUCGUUUCUAUUUUGUUGGUUUUCGGAAAUCGAGUUAAUGAUUAACAGGGACAAUUGGGGGCAUUAGCAUUCAGACGACAGAGGUGAAAUUCUUGGACCGUCUGAGGACUGACUACUGCGAAAGCAUUUGCCAAGAGUGUUUUCAUCG
Molecule: ribosomal RNA, 392 nt
Filed under: Oithona sp.
Lineage: Eukaryota; Metazoa; Arthropoda; Copepoda; Cyclopoida; Oithonidae
Description: partial small subunit ribosomal RNA
Rfam family: Eukaryotic small subunit ribosomal RNA
Source: RNAcentral